Molecule: non-coding RNA, 98 nt
Organism: Caerostris extrusa
Lineage: Eukaryota; Metazoa; Arthropoda; Arachnida; Araneae; Araneidae
Source: the annotation of a GenBank genome assembly
AUAUACAAUACCGGUUCUCGUUAGAUCACCGAAGUCAAGCAUCAUUGGGCGCGGUCAGUACUUGGGUGGGUGACCACCUGGGAACACCGCGUGCCGUU